ACGGGAGGCAGCAGUGGGGAAUAUUGGACAAUGGGGGAGAGCCUGAUCCAGCGACGCAGCGUGAGUGAAGAAGUAUUUCGGUACGUAAAGCUCUAUCAGCAGGGAAGAAAAUGACGGUACCUGACUAAGAAGCCCCGGCUAACUACGUGCCAGCAGCCGCGGUAAUACGUAGGGGGCAAGCGUUACCCGGAUUUACUGGGUGUAAAGGGAGCGUAGACGGUAUGGCAAGUCUGAAGUGAAGGACCGCGGCUUAACUGCGGGACUGCUUUUGAAACUGUCAGACUAGAGUGUCGGAGAGGUGAGUGGAAUUCCCAGUGUAGCGGUGAAAUGCGUAGAUAUUGGGAGGAACACCGGAGGCGAAGGCGGCUCACUGGACGAUAACUGACGUUGAGGCUCGGAAGCGUGGGGAGCAAACAGGAUUAGAUACCCUGGUA
Molecule: ribosomal RNA, 434 nt
Filed under: uncultured Lachnospiraceae bacterium
Lineage: Bacteria; Bacillati; Bacillota; Clostridia; Lachnospirales; Lachnospiraceae
Description: bacterial SSU rRNA
Rfam family: Bacterial small subunit ribosomal RNA
Source: RNAcentral